UAAACGACUCUUGGCAACGGAUAUCUCGGCUCUCGCAUCGAUGAAGAAUGUAGUGAAAGGCGAUACUUGGUGUGAAUUUCAGAAUCCCGUGAACCAUUGAGUCUUUGAACGCAAGUUGCGCCAGAAGCCAUUAGGCCGAGGGCACGUCUGCCUGGGCGUCACAU
Molecule: ribosomal RNA, 164 nt
Filed under: Acaena cylindristachya
Lineage: Eukaryota; Viridiplantae; Streptophyta; Magnoliopsida; Rosales; Rosaceae
Description: 5.8S ribosomal RNA
Rfam family: 5.8S ribosomal RNA
About the family: 5.8S ribosomal RNA (5.8S rRNA) is a component of the large subunit of the eukaryotic ribosome. It is transcribed by RNA polymerase I as part of the 45S precursor that also contains 18S and 28S rRNA.
Source: RNAcentral